AGAGUUUGAUCAUGGCUCAGAACGAACGCUGGCGGCGUGCUUAACACAUGCAAGUCGAGUGCGCGGUUGUAGCAAUACAACUGGCGCACGGCGCACGGGUGCGUAACACGUGGGUAACCUGCCCUUUGGUGGGGAAUAACUCCGCGAAAGCGGAGCUAAUUCCGCAUAAGAUCCGCAAGGAUGAAAGCCGCAAGGCGCCGAAGGAGGGGCCCGCGCCCGAUUAGCUAGUUGGUAGGGUAACGGCCUACCAAGGCUUUGAUCGGUAGCUGGUCUGAGAGGAUGAUCAGCCACACUGGAACUGAGACACGGUCCAGACUCCUACGGGAGGCAGCAGUGGGGAAUCUUGCACAAUGGGCGAAAGCCUGAUGCAGCGACGCCGCGUGGGGGAUGAAGCAUUUCGGUGUGUAAACCCCUUUCGAUCCGGACGAAACCCCGCAAGGGAUUGACGGUACAGAUAUAAGAAGCCCCGGCUAACUACGUGCCAGCAGCCGCGGUAAGACGUAGGGAGCCAGCGUUGUUCGGAAUUACUGGGUGUAAAGGGUUCGUAGGCGGUGCGGCAAGUUGGGAGUGAAAUCUCUGGGCUUAACCCAGAGGCUGCUUCCAAAACUGCUGUGCUUGAGUGUGGGAGAGGCGCGUGGAAUUGCAGGUGUAGCGGUGAAAUGCGUAGAUAUCUGCAGGAACACCCGUGGCGAAAGCGGCGCGCUGGACCACUACUGACGCUGAGGAACGAAAGCUAGGGGAGCAAACAGGAUUAGAUACCCUAGUAGUCC
This 770-nucleotide ribosomal RNA is filed under the name uncultured bacterium. Its description in RNAcentral is "bacterial SSU rRNA". It matches the Rfam family "Bacterial small subunit ribosomal RNA", at positions 8 to 796 of the family's 1533-position model. The record is from RNAcentral.